GACGAACCGAGCGAACGUUGUUCGGAAUCACUGGGUUUAAAGGGCGCGUAGGCCGGCAUUCAAGUCUGUGGUGAAAUCCUCCAGCUCAACUGGAGAACUGCCAUGGAUACUGGGUGUCUCGAGGGUGGUAGGGGUAUGCGGAACUAUCGGUGGAGCGGUGAAAUGCGUUGAUAUCGAUAGGAACUCCGGUGGCGAAGGCGGCAUACUGGACCACUUCUGACGCUGAGGCGCGAAAGCCAGGGGAGCGAACGGG
This 253-nucleotide ribosomal RNA is filed under the name uncultured bacterium. RNAcentral's name for it is "partial 16S ribosomal RNA". It matches the Rfam family "Bacterial small subunit ribosomal RNA", at positions 524 to 776 of the family's 1533-position model. The record is from RNAcentral.